CGUCCUCACCACCCGUGGGUCUCAGGGAGGCCGGAUGCGACCUCAUCUUUCUCAUGGUGCUGUCCCUGGUGCUACUGGGGUGUGGGGGUCCCUCCCCUCCCCCACACCAGAACGGGGUAUGUUGGGGGAUUGAAAGCACUUGAACUUUUUAUUUUAUUAAAACCUUGUUAUAAGCAGUGCCCUUUGUAGCUUUUCAUUUUGAUUUAUGUGUCGAGGGGAUGUUUGUGGAGCUUUGGAGGGCCAAGGGUCAGUAGGACGGCGCUGAGGGCGGUGGAGGACAGAGCCGAGCAUCACACCCCCGGCCAGUGGUGCUGGUGAAGAGUGCGCGGACUCCCCCGCUCUUUCAGAUGAGGCCUGGAUCCGUGGGCCCAGGGCCAUGAUGCUCCGGAUCCGGGGGCAUAGGGACACCACCAUCAUCUCCUCGCGGUCACCUCCCCCCCCCACUGUGCCUGAGAGAGAUGGGGACAGCUACCCACCUCAUCUGUCUGACCUGCGACUCCUACUGAGCCUGUUUGAAAGGAGGGAGAGGUGGGUGCAGAGGGAGGGAUGCAGCCGUGGCCUCUACACGGACUGGAGUGCAGGUGUCUAGUGGCUUCUAGACCAACAGCGCAACAGAGCCGGAACCUUCUCCAGGAUGGCUGGACGGAGGGA
Molecule: long non-coding RNA, 651 nt
Organism: Hyaena hyaena (striped hyena)
Lineage: Eukaryota; Metazoa; Chordata; Mammalia; Carnivora; Hyaenidae
Exons: 3
Source: RefSeq, a predicted model, not a curated record